RNAcentral lists this ribosomal RNA (808 nucleotides) under uncultured beta proteobacterium. RNAcentral's name for it is "bacterial SSU rRNA". It matches the Rfam family "Bacterial small subunit ribosomal RNA", at positions 671 to 1482 of the family's 1533-position model. The record is from RNAcentral. Lineage: Bacteria; Pseudomonadati; Pseudomonadota; Betaproteobacteria.
ACGUGUAGCAGUGAAAUGCGUAGAGAUGUGCAGGAACACCGAUGGCGAAGGCAGCCCCCUGGGAUAACACUGACGCUCAUGCACGAAAGCGUGGGGAGCAAACAGGAUUAGAUACCCUGGUAGUCCACGCCCUAAACGAUGUCAACUGGUUGUUGGAAGGGUAACCUUUUAGUAACGAAGCCAACGCGUGAAGUUGACCGCCUGGGGAGUACGGUCGCAAGAUUAAAACUCAAAGGAAUUGACGGGGACCCGCACAAGCGGUGGAUGAUGUGGUUUAAUUCGAUGCAACGCGAAAAACCUUACCUACACUUGACAUGCCAGAAAUCCUGCAGAGAUGUGGGAGUGCCGCAAGGAAUCUGGGCACAGGUGCUGCAUGGCUGUCGUCAGCUCGUGUCGUGAGAUGUUGGGUUAAGUCCCGCAACGAGCGCAACCCUUGUCACUAGUUGCUACAUUUAGUUGGGCACUCUAGUGAGACUGCCGGUGACAAACCGGAGGAAGGUGGCGAUGACGUCAAGUCCUCAUGGCCCUUAUGUGUAGGGCUACACACGUCAUACAAUGGUCGGUACAGAGGGUUGCCAACCCGCGAGGGGGAGCUAAUCUCACAAAGCCGAUCGUAGUCCGGAUCGCAGUCUGCAACUCGACUGCAUGAAGUCGGAAUCGCUAGUAAUCGUGGAUCAGCAUGUCUCGGUGAAUACGUUCCCGGGUCUUGUACACACCGCCCGUCACACCAUGGGAGUGGAAUCCGCCAGAAGUAGUUAGCCUAACCGCAAGGAGGGCGAUUACCACGGUAGGUUUCAUGACUGGGGUG